This is a long non-coding RNA of Crotalus tigris (Tiger rattlesnake), 2993 nucleotides long. RefSeq lists it as uncharacterized. The record is from RefSeq and is a predicted model, not a curated record. NCBI's taxonomy places the organism in Eukaryota, Metazoa, Chordata, Lepidosauria, Squamata, Viperidae. The transcript is spliced from 6 exons.
UUUUGCCUUCUCAAUCUCCCCCCCCCUUUUUUUUUUAAGGGACAGCGAUGCAGAGGGGAACAACACACGACACGGAUGGAAAGUCAAGAAGCCACACAAGACAAGACACGGACGGACACCAAUUGCCAAGACACAGAAACGCAGCUUCGGGUACAGAACCAAAUCCUCGCCGAUCUCCAGCGCUUGUUCUGCGGCGGGCAGAAAGAAGCCAAAAGAAGGCAGGGGAAAACAAAACAAUCCACGCCGAGGCUACUUCAGCCGCUCCGGUUGCGGCACAACUGUAAUGUGUAGCGAGGCGGCUGAGUGGUGCGUUGUUGGGUUUUUUUUUUCUUUCUCUCUCUCUCUCCCCUUUUGCCGCAGUCCAGCGUGUGUGUCUGUGUGCGUGCACGCGCACGCGUGUGUGGCAGAGCUUGAGUGUGCGGAGUGGUUUUUUUUUUUUUUUUUUUUUUAAAUAUUCCUCUGAACGAUGGACGUGGCAACGCGGAGGAGAAUCCAGCCAACAAAGAUGGAUAAAGAUCUCCCAAAUUUUACGCAGCGAUCCUGAGCGGCGUCCCGCGAAUCACUUCCCCAAAGCUGAAGCUCUAAGUCGCUGGAGACGGCGGUGGUGGGGGCAAAGCUGCACCUCCUUCCUAACCCUGUUAUUAUUAUUAUUAUUCCUCCCGGGCAAAUUAGGCAAAUCCCACGCAGCUUCCCAUCCAAGAGAAGAGCGCUGGUCCUUACAGUGGGAAAGCGCUUUGGAGCGCAGACUGAAACGGGGGUGCGCGGUGGGGCCGAGAGGGGAGACGGGCUCCAGACAACAGAAUCGGGCACGUAGGUAGGAGGCUGAAACUGACGCGGACGCCGCUCGUGUCAGAAUCCGGGUAAUUGCACCCCUCCGGCGCCACUCAUCUCGCACAUACACACGCACACGCAGGCGGGGGAGCGGAGAGGAAGGCUGGUCGGCUGCGGACCGAGCCGGGUUGGGGGAAAGGGUAUACACAACGAAGUCCUAUGCUGCCUGAAGACGGUAUUUUGACAGCAGAGGAACACUUUGUGAAGAGCCCACACGUCCCUUUUUGGAAGAUGAUCUUAUGGAAAAAAACAUGAUUCAGCAGAUUGGAAUAUCCAUUGGUGGCACCAGGGUUCCAAGCAAUCUCUAAACAAGCUAUAACAAUAGCCAUGGUGGUGCAGUGGUUAGAAUGCAAUACUGCAGGCUAAUUCAACUCACUGCCAGUAGUUCGAUCUUCACAGCUUCAAGGUUGACUCAUCCUUCCGAGGUACACUGUAUAUCUAUUCCAAGUUCACACUACAUAUACGGAUGGAAAUGCAAAUUUGGAAAUGGAAACUCAAGCACUUUCCAUGGGAAGCAAUGGAAAAGCAAUAUAUUUGGAUGUACAUUUAAUCAGUCCCGUGGUUCAUUGAUUCUGUGAGUCUUUGAACACUGCAAAAGGUUUUUCAUGUUAUAAUAAUAUAUGUCAACAAAGGAGCUUUUGUGCAUUUAUCUUCUCCAAAGCAUUCCCUCAACAUGCUUGUAAUACCUUUGAGAACAGUUAAAAAAGAAAAAGAAAAAAAAAGUUCAGGCAUCUUUCUCCAAAUCGCGUGUAUUUCAGGUGAAUUCAAUGUCUUAUUCAAUCAUUAGACUAGAGGAAGAGUCUAAAGCAGUGGUGUUUAACCUUGGCAAUGUUAAGACCAUUGGACUUCAACUCCCAGAAUUCCCCAGCCAGCCAGGUAAAAAUUUCACACCAGUUUUGCCCCAGACAUUUUCUGUCCCAGCACAAUGUAUACAUUGACAAAUUCUGCAGUCAAGGAGCCUUGUCUGUAUUGUGCAUUGUAUUGCUUUUUGUGAGCCUGAACCCUGCAGUACAACUUUUUAGCCAACCUGGAAAGCUUUUUAUUAUUUUUUUUCCUUCUACUGUAUGUUUAAAUAUUUCCUCUCUGCAAGUGGAGGGAUAGGAGAGACUAUAGAUAGGUUUACAGGAUAAGAAAUGGCUUCUUUGAGCUGAACAAGCCAUGGAAUCAUGGUUCAUGUAGGGUACUACAGUCAGUUCUUAAUUUAUGAUCACAGCUGGGACUAGAAUUUCCAUUGUUAACCAAGGCACACCCAAUUUUACAAUCUUUUUUGCCACCUUUUUAAGCAAAUCGCUGCAGUUGUUAAGUAAAUCACAUGGUCUGUAAAUGAAUCUGGCUGUAAAUGAAUCUUGACUUUGCCUGUCAGGAGCCAGCUGAGAAAGUCACAUAUGGAAAUCGCAUGACCCAAGGAUGCUGCAACCAUCGUAAAUACAUGCCAGUUGCCAAGCACCUGAAUUUUGAUUGCUGUAUGUGACUGUGAGUAUGCUGUGAUAGUUGUAAGGGUGAGUACUGAUGGUAAGUCAACUUUUUUUUAGUGCCAUUGAAAUUUUGAAUGAUCACUAAACAGUUAUAAGUCAAGGACUACUCGUAUACAAACCACAAUAUGACACUUCCUUCUUUAUUUUCUUUCUUCAGGUCUUUUGCUCAAUGCUUUUCACAUCUGGAUUAGUCCUGGAAAUAGCUGCAAACAGUUGUGUCAUCUAACAGAAGCCAAUCUGUUACAUUUGAGAAAAUCAACCCAGUGGAAAGUGAAGGAACCAUUUUUUUUUUAGAAAGAAAAAAUUGGAACAAUCUUAAUAUUUGUUACCCUUUGCUCGGGAGCAACCUUAUUUUAUUCCUACGAUGAGUAAAAGAAGAAAAUAUUGUGUGUAUUUUUUAUGCCUAUUAAAUAAAAAAAGGAAGAAAAAAUAAUCCAGGCAACAAUUUUAAAACAGCUAGCCCAUUGAUUUAUAAACUCUCCUUUAUGUUACUAUAAGUAUUUAAUUACCUUCAAAGGCAAAUUUGCACUAGAAGAAAGAAGCUGGCAUAGAACAGAGGUAUCACCGCAAGAGUUUCGCCUACUAGAAGAACAGUUGUAGGAAUUGGGUAUGCCUAGUUUAAUGAAAUAUAGGACUAGAGGGUGACAUGAUAGCAGUAUUUCCAUGUUUGAGGGGCUGCCACAAAGA